This 253-nucleotide ribosomal RNA is filed under the name uncultured bacterium. RNAcentral's name for it is "partial 16S ribosomal RNA". It matches the Rfam family "Bacterial small subunit ribosomal RNA", at positions 524 to 776 of the family's 1533-position model. The record is from RNAcentral.
UACAGAGGCCUCAAGCGUUAGGCGGAAUCACUGGGCUUAAAGCGCGUGUAGGUGGUUGCCUAAGUCCCUUGUGAAAUCCCACGGCUUAACCAUGGAAUUGCUUGGUAUACUGGGUGUCUUGAGCCACUCAGGGGCUACCGGAACAAACGGUGGAGCGGUGAAAUGCGUAGAUAUCGUGUGGAACGCCAAUGGUGAAAACAGGUAGCUGGGGGUGUGCUGACACUGAGGCACGAAGGCCAGGGGAGCAAACGGG